This 1023-nucleotide ribosomal RNA is filed under the name Staphylococcus sp. RNAcentral describes it as "bacterial SSU rRNA". It matches the Rfam family "Bacterial small subunit ribosomal RNA", at positions 49 to 1053 of the family's 1533-position model. Lineage: Bacteria; Bacillati; Bacillota; Bacilli; Caryophanales; Staphylococcaceae. The record is from RNAcentral.
CUAUACAUGCAGUCGAGCGAANGACGAGGAGCUUGCUCCUCUGACGUUAGCGGCGGACGGGUGAGUAACACGUGGAUAACCUACCUAUAAGACUGGGAUAACUUCGGGAAACCGGAGCUAAUACCGGAUAAUAUAUUGAACCGCAUGGUUCAAUAGUGAAAGACGGUUUUGCUGUCACUUAUAGAUGGAUCCGCGCCGCAUUAGCUAGUUGGUAAGGUAACGGCUUACCAAGGCAACGAUGCGUAGCCGACCUGAGAGGGUGAUCGGCCACACUGGAACUGAGACACGGUCCAGACUCCUACGGGAGGCAGCAGUAGGGAAUCUUCCGCAAUGGGCGAAAGCCUGACGGAGCAACGCCGCGUGAGUGAUGAAGGUCUUCGGAUCGUAAAACUCUGUUAUUAGGGAAGAACAAAUGUGUAAGUAACUAUGCACGUCUUGACGGUACCUAAUCAGAAAGCCACGGCUAACUACGUGCCAGCAGCCGCGGUAAUACGUAGGUGGCAAGCGUUAUCCGGAAUUAUUGGGCGUAAAGCGCGCGUAGGCGGUUUUUUAAGUCUGAUGUGAAAGCCCACGGCUCAACCGUGGAGGGUCAUUGGAAACUGGAAAACUUGAGUGCAGAAGAGGAAAGUGGAAUUCCAUGUGUAGCGGUGAAAUGCGCAGAGAUAUGGAGGAACACCAGUGGCGAAGGCGACUUUCUGGUCUGUAACUGACGCUGAUGUGCGAAAGCGUGGGGAUCAAACAGGAUUAGAUACCCUGGUAGUCCACGCCGUAAACGAUGAGUGCUAAGUGUUAGGGGGUUUCCGCCCCUUAGUGCUGCAGCUAACGCAUUAAGCACUCCGCCUGGGGAGUACGACCGCCAGGGUGAAACUCACANGAAUUGACGGGGACCCGCACAAGCGGUGGAGCAUGUGGGUUAAUUCUAAGCAACGCCAAGAACCUUACCAAAUCUUGACAUCCUCUGACCCCUCUCGAAAAAGAGUUUUCUCCUCCGGGGGACAGAGAGACAAGUGGUGGAUGGUUGUC